AAAAGCCUACGAUUUUUAUAACUCCUCCCCACCUUCUAGCAGACUUAAUACAAGUUUAUCCCAAUAUGUAUAAGUCUUGCAAACAGGACAUUCAACCAGUCUGUGCAUCAGUCACUCCCUGGAACACCCGGAGACCUGUCUUCCUCGCGCUCCAUGGCAGGUUCUGGGGAUGGGGCUGACAGUGGACACUCACUGGCACACCAGCCAGUGCCUACAUCACUGGAGUCCCACAUUGUGACUGUCGCCCUGGGCCAGGAGGCCGCUGUUACCCCAGGUGCAUGACCCUGGCAGACAGUGCUUCAACCCUGAGGCCCAGCUCCAGCCCUUCCUCCCCUGCUGCUUCUCCAGCCUUCCUGUUCCAUGGCCGGGCAGCUUGUCCUCUUCUCCACUGAGUCCAGUCUCUGCAUGAAGCAGAUCUUAAGCACAGCAUUUUCAUCUUUCUGUUCAUCACCCUGGAAUGGGUGCAGAUUCCCCAGUGCCUGAGCAAGAUGACUUCAGGGACUUUCUAGGCAAGACCGUGCCUUUUCCUUCUGAGAGAAAUAAAAUGAGCCGAAUCAUGAACACCCAAGGCAAGGCUUUUAUCAAAGGACAGAGCUAUCGGGCUGUCUGGAACAACGUCAAGAGCGGCAACCUGGGGCUGGCUGGGGAAGGUGAGCGAGCAUGGGGGUUCCCCUCCAUUCCCUGGGGUCAUCAGGUGGAGCUGCGGUGGCAUGGCCAGCUGCCAGGGCAUGCCUGUCAUGGUGAGCAGCAAAGCUGUCGUCUUGGUGACUUUGGAAGCCUCGGGAGGAAGCACUCAGGGUACAAGUCCCAAGUGGAUUUACAGGACUUCUGGAGCCCACACUACCCAAGAAAUAAAUCGUGAACAGGUUUACAGGACCUCCAAGGCGGCCGGCCUAUGGGAGAAGAACUAACCAGACAGAGCUGCUCAAGACCCUUUCCAGCUGGGCAACCCAUAGGAACAGAAACGAAGGUGGCUCGAGCCUGGGGUUAAACCGGCAGAAUCACGUGCGGAAUCACAUUGGCAGCCCCAGGCGGGUCUUAGCGGGAGAAUCUGCCUCCAAGACCCAGCCCUUGCAGACCGAGGCCAGCUUCCAGCAUGGCUGUGACUGGCCAAGGGUCACUCAUUCCCACGCUUUCCAACACAGCUGGGUGCAAGCCAAGGAGGCAAGCAGCAGAGUCAAUCUUUUCCAAGCUCUCUGUGGAAUGGAUGUCACUUAUCCAUGCCCUGUGCCAUAUUUUAUUGGUUAGAAACAACUCAUUAGGCG
This 1265-nucleotide long non-coding RNA is filed under the name Heterocephalus glaber (naked mole-rat). RNAcentral describes it as "lncRNA (ENSHGLG00100035411.1)". The record is from RNAcentral. Lineage: Eukaryota; Metazoa; Chordata; Mammalia; Rodentia; Bathyergidae.